RNAcentral lists this long non-coding RNA (598 nucleotides) under Cyanistes caeruleus (blue tit). Its description in RNAcentral is "lncRNA (ENSCCEG00000000048.1)". The record is from RNAcentral. Lineage: Eukaryota; Metazoa; Chordata; Aves; Passeriformes; Paridae.
CUGAGACCAAACAGCAGCAAAUGAGCUGUGGUCAGCAGUGUUACAGCACCAGCCUGGUCCAGCCAGGCUUCAGGCCACUGCUCAGAGCCAGCCACUGCUGAAAAACAAGGAGAGGGGGCAGUCAAAGCAGAAUGAGGAACACAGAAGGCCACAGAGAGACGGGGCGCUGGGCAGGGCUUAUCGCACCCCUCAGCCCAGGGAACCUCUGGUGCUCCCUAUUGGGUUCCACAUUUCCAGGGAUCCCCAGAGUAGCACAGUUAGAGGUUCAACACAAGCCUACAAGGAGCAGAGGUGCAGGCACUUCAUGCAGCAUCCCUUUGGAAGUUAUUCAGCUCCUGAGAUGGGAAAAAGCAGUUUUACUUCAACACUCAUACAAACAUCAAAGUACAGCCUUGCAGCUCUUGAUCCUUAAUAGAUUGACCAGAGUUUACAAAACUUUUGAUGAGAAUACACCAAACCAGAAUAUAUUUGCAUGGAUGAGUCAAAAUCAUAAGGUACUCAGUGCAAUGUGGGGCUUGACUGCACACUCCUGAGAUGUUAUUCAUCUUGAUUUCACUCUUCCAGUUAAAAUCUUGGACAACUCUCUCUGAUUCUCUUU